Molecule: ribosomal RNA, 517 nt
Filed under: Pontiothauma sp. 2 FC-2020
Lineage: Eukaryota; Metazoa; Mollusca; Gastropoda; Neogastropoda; Raphitomidae
Also listed under: 1 other name
Description: partial large subunit ribosomal RNA
Rfam family: Bacterial large subunit ribosomal RNA
Source: RNAcentral
CAAAACAUGGCUUCUCGUCUUUAGUCUAUGUGAAGUCGUACCUGCCCAGUGAAAUUUUAACGGCCGCGGUACUCUGACCGUGCAAAGGUAGCAUAAUAAUUUGCCUUAUAAUUGAAGGCUGGAAUGAAUGGUUUGUCAAGGGUAAAGCUGUCUCUAUAAAAUUUUAUAGAAUUUUAUUUUUAGGUGAAAAAGCCUAAAUUACAUUAAAAGACAAGAAGACCCUAUCGAGCUUUAAAGAACUUAAUAAAUACUUAUAACUAAUUAGAAAUUUAAUUAUAAAAAAUUUUGGUUGGGGCAACCUAGGAGUAAAUAAAGCCUCCUUUUUUAAAAAGACCUUUAUGUUAUGAUCCAAAAAGUUUGAUUAAAAGAAAUAGUUACCGUAGGGAUAACAGCAUUAUUUUUUUUGAGAGUUCUUAUCGAAAAAAAAGUUUGUGACCUCGAUGUUGGACCAGAAUAUCCUGAAGAUGUAGAAGUCUUCAAGGGUUGGUCUGUUCGACCAUUAAAAUUCUACGUGAUC